RNAcentral lists this ribosomal RNA (402 nucleotides) under uncultured bacterium. RNAcentral describes it as "bacterial SSU rRNA". It matches the Rfam family "Bacterial small subunit ribosomal RNA", at positions 917 to 1333 of the family's 1533-position model. The record is from RNAcentral.
GGGCCCGCACAAGCGGUGGAGCAUGUGGUUUAAUUCGAUGCAACGCGAAGAACCUUACCAGGUCUUGACAUGUCACUUUUUUUCUUGAAAAAGAAAGUUCCCGAGUGAACACAGGUGGUGCAUGGCUGUCGUCAGCUCGUGUCUUGAGAUGUUGGGUUAAGUCCCGCAACGAGCGCAACCCUUAUUCUGUGUUGCUAUUUAUAGGAAACUCAGAAGACUGCCGGUGAUAAGCCGGAGGAAGGUGAGGAUGACGUCAAGUCAGCAUGCCCCUUACGACCUGGGCCACACACGUGCUACAAUGGCCGGGACAAAGAGAUGCAAUCUCGCGAGAGCAAGCUAACCUCAAAAACCCGGUCUUAGUUCGGAUUGUAGGCUGAAACUCGCCUACAUGAAGCUGGAAUC